AUAAAAUUCUACGAGUCGACGAAGUUGAAAAUACAAAGCACAGUGAAAGUCAUGUGUUAUAUUUUGCUGUUUUUCUUAUGUAGUCGAGAUUAUGAUUGCAGUUGUUCGUGCAAUCAUAGAUGAAUCGAUCUUUGUUUCGAUAAAAUAAAGAAGGAAUUGUGAAGUAGAUUUGUUGUUAAUGUUUUUCUGUUAAUUUAAAUUUGUUUGCGUUUUAUGAUGUUAAAAAACUUUUAGGAAUAUGUUUAUAUGAAUAAUUUGGGUGCAAAGCAGUCAUAGAAUCAAUAUUUAUUCGUAUAAAAUUUUAUUUUUCUUUUUUUCUACAAUCAGAUAUACUGUAGAUUCUUAUAUAUAAAACAAGCAAUAGAUAUUCGCGAAUUAAAUUCAUUGUUUGCCUCUUAAUUAUUAAAUAAUUAUUGCGUAUUUGAGUCAGUGGACCAUGGAAUAUGAUCAAGGAGCUAUUACACUUCUGUAGAAGAAUAUUGAUUUGCAUUGUCAUUAAGUCAAUGUAUUACAAAUUCAAUCUAAUUAAUUUUUCAUCUACGUCGAUUUAUUUCAUUUUGGACUUCUUACGGAACAGCUUACAUAAAUUUCGAACUACAACGGGGCGAGUGUUUUGAAGCUAUUGUGGAUCUUAAGCAGUGAGUGAACAAAUUUAAGUCCCUCCAGUAUAUAUUAUGUCGAGGAUGAAAGAUUCGACUUGAUAUGAAUUACUAGUUGUAAUUUUUUCUAUUAAUUGUUGACGAAUAGCCAUUAAUAAUCAACUUUUUGGAUUUACUCUUGAAUGGUAUAGUUUUAAUUGUUUUUUUAUUGGGCUUAAUCUAGUUUCAUCAUCUUAGGAUAGUAUUUUCUUGUUCUAUUAAUGAGUCAUUUAAUUAAUACGAGUCAUGCAACAACUCAGCAGUGUGAUUUAAGUGCGAUUGGUUGUCACAAAUGGUGACGAAGGGGCUCACACGUUGGCUUCUGUAGCAUUUUCACUAUGCGUGCUUGAACGUGUGCCAAUUAUGUGGAUGUUAACAAAAUUAAUUAUUAUAAAAACCAUAAAAUCUGAUUAAUUUGAAUAAAUAUGUUUUUGCACAUGUAUUUAAACGUUAUAUUAUAAUCAAACAUCGUAACACAACAAGUAAGCCUUUCGAGAUCUUCUUUAGAUGCAAUAAUCGAAAACAAUUCAUCCAGUAAAAUGAAAUCAU
This is a long non-coding RNA of Vespa crabro (European hornet), 1187 nucleotides long. RefSeq lists it as uncharacterized. The transcript has 3 exons. The record is from RefSeq and is a predicted model, not a curated record. Lineage: Eukaryota; Metazoa; Arthropoda; Insecta; Hymenoptera; Vespidae.